GAUGAACGCUGGCGGCGUGCCUAAUACAUGCCAGUCGAGCGAACAGACGAGGAUCUUUCUCCUCUCACGUUAGCGGCGGACGGGCGAGUAACACGUGGAUAACCUACCUAUCAUACUGGGAUAACUUCGGGAAACCGGAGCUAAUACCGGAUAAUAUAUUGAACUGCACGGCUCACUAGUGAAAGACGGUUUUGCUGUCACUUAUAGAUGGAUCCGCGCCGCAUUAGCUAGUUGGUAAGGUCACGGCUUACCAAGGCAACGAUGCGUAGCCGACGUGAGAGGGGGGUCGGCCACACUGGAACGGAGCUGCGGUACAGACUACUACGGGAGGCAGCGGAAGGGAAUCUUACGCAAGGGGAGGAAGCCUGGCGGAGCAACGCCGAGUGAGUGGUGAGAGGAUUCGGAUCGGAAAUCUCAGUUAUUAGGGAGGAGCAAAUGUGUAAGUAACGAUGCACGUCUUGACGGUACCUAAUCAGAAAGGCACGGCUAACUCCGUG
This 497-nucleotide ribosomal RNA is filed under the name uncultured bacterium. RNAcentral's name for it is "partial 16S ribosomal RNA". It matches the Rfam family "Bacterial small subunit ribosomal RNA", at positions 28 to 507 of the family's 1533-position model. The record is from RNAcentral.